CAAAGGUUUGGUCCUGACUUUUCUACCAGCUCUAGCUAAACUUACACAUGCAAGUAUCCGCGCCCCCGUGAGAAUGCCCUAUAGUUCCCUGCCCGGGAACAAGGAGCUGGUAUCAGGCACAUAAACCUAGCCCACGACGCCUUGCUCAGCCACACCCUCAAGGGUACUCAGCAGUGAUAAACAUUGACCCAUAAGUGAAAACUUGACUCAGUUAAAGCUAAGAGGGCCGGUAAAACUCGUGCCAGCCACCGCGGUUAUACGGGAGGCCCAAGUUGUUAGAAGUCGGCGUAAAGGGUGGUUAAGAACAAGCUUAAAAUUAAAGCCGAACACCUUCCGAGCUGUUAUACGCAUCCGAAGGUAAGAAGCUCAAUUACGAAAGUAGCUUUAUAAUUUCUGAACCCACGAAAGCUAGGACACAAACUGGGAUUAGAUACCCCACUAUGCUUAGCCGUAAACAUUGACAGUCUAUAACAUUUUCUGUCCGCCUGGGGACUACGAGCAUUAGCUUAAAACCCAAAGGACUUGGCGGUGCUUUAGACCCACCUAGAGGAGCCUGUUCUAGAACCGAUAAUCCCCGUUCAACCUCACCCCUCCUUGUCCAUCCCGCCUAUAUACCACCGUCGUCAGCUUACCCUGUGAAGGAUAAAAAGUAAGCAAAACUGGUACUACCCAGCACGUCAGGUCGAGGUGUAGCGAAUGGAGGGGGAAGAAAUGGGCUACAUUCCCUUAUCUACAGGGAACCACGAAUGGCAUACUGAAAAUGUGUGCCUGAAGGAGGAUUUAGCAGUAAAAGGAAAGUAGAGUGUUCCAUUGAAGCCGGCUCUUAAGCGCGCACACACCGCCCGUCACUCUCCCCGAGACCUUAACUUACAUUAACUAAAAUGCCAGAAUCAUAGAGGGGAGGCAAGUCGUAACAUGGUAAGUGUACCGGAAGGUGCACUUGGAAAAC
Molecule: non-coding RNA, 949 nt
Filed under: Acanthopagrus latus (yellowfin seabream)
Lineage: Eukaryota; Metazoa; Chordata; Actinopteri; Spariformes; Sparidae
Description: 12S ribosomal RNA
Rfam family: Bacterial small subunit ribosomal RNA
Source: RNAcentral